RNAcentral lists this ribosomal RNA (291 nucleotides) under uncultured bacterium. Its description in RNAcentral is "partial 16S ribosomal RNA". It matches the Rfam family "Bacterial small subunit ribosomal RNA", at positions 506 to 796 of the family's 1533-position model. The record is from RNAcentral.
UGCCAGCAGCCGCGGUAAUACGGAGGAUCCGAGCGUUAUCCGGAUUUAUUGGGUUUAAAGGGUGCGUAGGUGGGAAUAUAAGUCAGUUGUGAAAGUUUACGGCUCAACCGUGAAAUUGCAAUUGAAACUGUAUUUCUUGAGUGUACAUGAGGUAGGCGGAAUUCGUGGUGUAGCGGUGAAAUGCUUAGAUAUCACGAAGAACUCCAAUUGCGAAGGCAGCUUACUAAGGUACAACUGACACUGAGGCACGAAAGUGUGGGUAUCAAACAGGAUUAGAAACCCCCGUAGUCC